GAUGAACGCUAGCUAUAGGCUUAACACAUGCAAGUCGAGGGGAAACGGCAUUAUGUGCUUGCACAUUUUGGACGUCGACCGGCGCACGGGUGAGUAUCGCGUAUCCAACCUGCCCUUUACUUGGGGAUACCCCGUUGAAAGACGGCCUAAUACCCGAUGUAGUUCAUUGAUGGCAUCAGAUAUGAAUAAAAGAUUUAUCGGUAAAGGAUGGGGAUGCGUCUGAUUAGCUUGUUGGUGAGGUAAAGGCUCACCAAGGCGACGAUCAGUAGGGGUUCUGAGAGGAAGGUCCCCCACAUUGGAACUGAGACACGGUCCAAACUCCUACGGGAGGCAGCAGUGAGGAAUAUUGGUCAAUGGGCGCAAGCCUGAACCAGCCAAGUAGCGUGCAGGAAGACGGCCCUAUGGGUUGUAAACUGCUUUUAUACGAGAAUAAUUUGAUGCACGUGUGCGUUAUUGCAUGUAUCGUAUGAAUAAGGACCGGCUAAUUCCGUGCCAGCAGCCGCGGUAAUACGGAAGGUCCAGGCGUUAUCCGGAUUUAUUGGGUUUAAAGGGAGUGUAGGCGGUUUGUUAAGCGUGUUGUGAAAUUUAGGUGCUCAACAUUUAACUUGCAGCGCGAACUGUCAGACUUGAGUACACGCAACGUAUGCGGAAUUCAUGGUGUAGCGGUGAAAUGCUUAGAUAUCAUGAAGAACUCCGAUUGCGAAGGCAGUAUACGGGAGUGUAACUGACGCUUAAGCUCGAAGGUGCGGGUAUCGAACAGG
Molecule: ribosomal RNA, 761 nt
Filed under: uncultured Prevotella sp.
Lineage: Bacteria; Pseudomonadati; Bacteroidota; Bacteroidia; Bacteroidales; Prevotellaceae
Description: bacterial SSU rRNA
Rfam family: Bacterial small subunit ribosomal RNA
Source: RNAcentral